Molecule: ribosomal RNA, 303 nt
Filed under: uncultured bacterium
Lineage: Bacteria
Description: partial 16S ribosomal RNA
Rfam family: Bacterial small subunit ribosomal RNA
Source: RNAcentral
AGCAGUAGCCACGGUAAUACGUAGGGUGCGAGCGUUAAUCGGAAUUACUGGGCGUAAAGCGUGCGCAGGCGGUUUUGUGAGACAGGCGUGAAAUCCCCGGGCUCAACCUGGGAAAGGCGCUUGUGACUGCAAAGCUAGAGUGCGGCAGAGGGGGAUGGAAUUCCGCGUGUAGCAGUGAAAUGCGUAGAUAUGCGGAGGAACACCGAUGGCGAAGGCAAUCUCCUGGGCCUGCACUGACGCUCAUGCACGAAAGCGUGGGGAGCAAACAGGAUUAGAUACCCCAGUAGUCCCUGUCUCUUAUAA